This is a long non-coding RNA of Hypanus sabinus (Atlantic stingray), 4438 nucleotides long. RefSeq lists it as uncharacterized. NCBI's taxonomy places the organism in Eukaryota, Metazoa, Chordata, Chondrichthyes, Myliobatiformes, Dasyatidae. The record is from RefSeq and is a predicted model, not a curated record. The transcript has 3 exons.
GACCCGGGUUAGACCCCACUUGGAGUACUGUGCUCAGUUCUGGUCACCGCACUACAGGAAGGAUGUGAAAACUAUAGAAAGGGUGCAGAGGAGAUUUACAAGGCUGUUGCCAUACAAGAAUAGGUUGAAUGAACUUGGCCUUUUCUCCUUGGAGUGACGGAGGAUGAGAGGUGACCUGAUAGAGGUGUAUAAGAUGAUGAGAGGCAUUGAUUGUGUGGUUAGUCAGAGGCUUUUUCCCAGGGCUGAAAUGGCUAACGUGAGAGGGCACAGUUUUAAGGUACUUGGAAGUAGGUGCAGAGGGGAUGUCAGGGGUAAGUUCUUUUAUGCAGAGAGUGAUGAGUGUGUGGAAUGGGCUGCUGGCGACUAUGAUGAAGGUGGGAACAAUAGGGUCUUUUAUGAGACUCCUGUAUAGGUACAUGGAGCUUAGAAAAAUAGAGGGCUAUGGGUAACUGUAGGUAAUUUCUAAAGUACAUGUUCAGCACAGCAUUGUGGGCCAAAGGGCCUGUAUCGUGCUGUAGUUUUCUAUGUUUCUACUUGCAUUACUGUGACUAAUUUAUAUGGGUAUAAUUUCUAUUGCAAGCUUGCUUCUAAUAACUCCAUUAAUUCUUGUGUGUUUGUUGCCAAAUGCAAACCGUGCAAUUAAAGCUUGUAAACUUAUGGGGAUAGCUUUUUAUGCAUAGUUGGGGCAAGCAGCAUCAAUGGAGGACAAUGGACAGUCAAUAUUUUGGGUAGAUACUCUUCAUCAGGUUUGAAAGAGAUAGUCAGUAUGAAGAGAUGAGGAGAUGGAAAAGUGCAAGAGCUGGCAAGCAGCAAGUGGAUCCAGGUGUGGAGGGAUGAUAGGUAGGUGGAGAAGGAAAGUAUGGAAAUAGCAACAGGGGCUGGGAGGUGACUGGUGGGUUUAAAAAGAGGACUGCAGAUGAUGGAAUCUGAUAGGAAAGUAAGGUAGAGCAUGGAAACAAAUCAGGAAGGUGGGCAGAUGGGAAUAGGAGGUGGAGAAGUGUGUGGGUGAUGAGCAGAUAGAGUGGGUGGACAAGGAGAAAGAUAAAGAUGCUUGAUGAUGGGAGGGGAGUUUUGUAGAAACUGGGCUGGGUACAAGUGGAAUUGGGUUGAGCAGAAGGAACCAAGAGGGAAAAGAGACACAGGAGCAGCAGAUUACCCUAAAUAGGACAACUCCAUAUUUAUCCCAUCGGGUUGCAGAAUCUCUAAAAGGAAUUUGACGUGCUGCUCCUCUGGUUAGCAAUUAGCUUCAUGCUGGCAGCACAGGAAGGCAAGAACUAUUUUUGCCCAACCUGCCCACUGCCAACCACAAAACAAUAUGAUAACCUUAUCUAGCUCUGAAAGUCAAAAAUUGUAUUGAGAUAUACUUGAUGUUUGCCGAUGAAAACCCACUUAAAAAAAACCAUAAAGACCCUAAAUGUGAGGACCGGGUAGAAACGUGAUCACUGAUGACUGUAUUAUUUAUCAAAAAGAACCUUACUGAAUCAUUUUAACCAUAUUUAACCCUAUUUAACUUCAAUUUUAAAUUUGGAUGCAUGUGGUAGGAGUAACAGUAAUCCACCAAGCCAACAAUAAGGGUUUAAUUUAGAAUCCAUUUGCAGAGGUGUCUAUUCAGGGGAUAUUUUUAUAUUUUCUCUGAUAUAAAAUGAGGUACUUGGCCCAAUGAAUCAAUACUGGCUCUUGGGGUAUUCCCAUCAGACCUACUCUUGUAACAUAUUGUUUCUCAUCUGUCCUUCCAAUAUUCUAUGAUUCUCCUGUCAGCCACCCACUUGGGACGAGGGGGUGUAAUUUAUAACAGCUAGUUAAGAUUUUAGCUUUGAUAGAGGAUGACAAUCCUCAACUCAAGCACAGGUGGUGGAUGAAAAACUACUGGUUGAAAAAUGGCCCGAAGACUGAGUUAUGCUCUGCAGUUCUAACAUGGAGCAAUGCCAAUAAACUGAGUGCAAGAAGUCUAAUUGAAGAAACGCACAAUUCGAUUUUCUUUCAAAUAUGGCAGACUACAUCAUUCUGCUGGAGUGUAAAAAUAGAACAACUAAUCUUAUAUUUCUUUUAAACCAAGCAAAUAAUAAACCAGAAAAUAGACAUAAAUUGUAAUGAAGUUUGAGUGGUAAAUUAGAUUAAGAAAAUUCCAGCAGGAAUUUAUUGCUCAAUCAAAUAUGCAAUACACUUGGCCUCUAAUUGCUUGUUAGAAAACAGUGAUUUUGCACUAUAUCUAUUUGCAAUUUUUAUGAAUAAACUGCAUUCAGGGUCCAAAAGAAAAGUAGGCACCUGUUUUAUAACUCCUUUCAACUGAAGGAAAAAAAUUACAGCUCCACAAAGGAAAGAACAAGCCAACGGCAUGAACAUACAUCUCUGUCAACCAGCCAGUGCUGGCGUUAGAUGUUGACUAAACUCUUUGUGUUCUGUAUCAUUCAAAUAUCAUUAAAAGUACAGCUUAAAAACUGUAGAUGAAUAGUGACAGGGAAAUCAUAAAACUUGUUUUGAUGAAAUAUCCAGCAAAUGGGAAGUGUUUUCUGAAGACAAAGAGAGCUCACUAGUUUAAAGCCAAAAUCGACUGCAGAUGUUGGAAUCGCUCCUGAAGAAGGGUCUUGACCUGAAGUGUUAACUUACACCUUUUGCCUCCACAGAUGCUGCUUGACCCACUGAGUUUUUCUGGGGUCCUAUCCUUCGUUCCAGAGCUCAUUAGUUCAUUAUAUUUAAUUCAAUUUUCUCUCUAACAAGGACAUCAAUGCACUGGAUCCAUCGGCUGAAGGACUAUUUGGAGCCUACACACUCCCGUAAAGUAUUCCGAAAGUGAUCCCUUUGAUAGUUAAAUCCAGCAACAUAGGCAAGAACAGAGGAACCAUCAGAAACUCCAGCAGCCCCUUGCGAUUCUGUGAUUUCAGUCUCCGAGUCUGACAUGCAAGCGGCCUGCAGGAAGGUGAACUCAUUGAGCUCAGUCAGAGCUGGCCAGAUGCUGCCUGAAAUGCUGAUUAAUUGCUGGUGAUCCAAAAUAAAGAUGGUGGCUAAGACCCAGUGGUUGGAAACAGCAUGAAGUCACAGGCAUAAGGAUGCCUUUCCCCCCUGUUUUACAUUGAUACAACUAGAUUCAAAAAGCAUAAUGACAAUACUACAAGCACAAACCAUCAACUGCCUCUUUACCGCAUCAGUUCCAAUUCAAAUGCCGACUUGAUGCUAAGUGUCACAGACAAGCCGAUUUGCAAUGGCUUCUUCCUAUAUUUCCUUCAACAUUCUGCAGCUGUCUUUGGUUCUUGGAGGAAAGUCUGUGUUGGGAACACUACUACUCACAGCCACAAGAAAAGAACUAACGACAAGCAUUGUCCUCUUAAAAGCUUCACUGAGUGCCCAUUUCAGAAAGCCUCUUCCCUGAUUUGAAGAAAGCUGUCAGCUAUUGUCAGAGCUAAUGGAACAGGCAAAUCAUGUUGUAUACUUAGGUGCCAAUGGUCACAAAGCAGUGGGCAUUCAGAAUAUUAGACAAUCUUUUCCCUGAGGUGGUAAAACUUCAGCAAACUCUCAAAACGUGGCCAAGGAUGUACGGACUGACGUCGAGCUGACAGACUAACUGGAGAACACUUAGUUAAAACUCUUUACCUACAACUGGAUGGUAAAGUGGAAACAAACAGGAAACAAUAUGACUGGGGCAGAAAAGGGUGUUUUUUAAUAGCAGAAUCUGUGUAAGAUACAGCUACUACUUGAAAACCUAACAGUCAGCCCACUAAUUACCCCUAAAACUGGUUCACAAUCUUUUGGGUAGCUAGGAAAUAAUAAUUAGCUUGCCCCCUUAAUAUUCAAAGUGAUUAGGUUUUUCUUCGGGAGUGUCACUAUUAGCUACACCUGGCUCAUCAUUGCCAGCUGCAAGAUCUGGAUAAUGCACAGUUCACAGAACAUUGCGUUGUAUAGCAAAUGCACACAAAUAUAAGUAGUUUUUACAUAGGAAGAUAAUUUAGAUAAUAGAUAUACUUUUAUGUCAAAUUCAAAAAUAUGUAAAUAAAACUACAGUUGGUUACAGAUACUCGUGGGUUGCCUCACACUGAAAUAGGCUGGCUCUCUUCCUUGGCAAAUCCAAGUAAGUAAUGUGUAAAAGGGGAUGGUGGCUGCUGAGUAGGAACUCAAUGUUUAGUUCAGUUAGUGGUUGUAGCAAGACCAGCUAAUGCUGUUUCAUUUCAAUGGUGUAAUAAUAUGUCCAGCUUACAACAUUUACAGUUGGGAGAUCUCUUCAGGAGUCCAAAUCUGGUCCUGAUGGGACCUGAUGUAAAAUCUGUAAAUCUGUUAAUAUAAUGAGGAUUGCGUGUUGCAUGGAAAAAAACCAAGUUGUGCUGUUUUCAAUUAUUUGCAUUUCGCAUUGGAUGUAAUUGCUUCAAGUAUCUUCAAUUGUUUUUCGUUAACUUUUUAGUUUUAAAGCAGUGCACAGCAACAUUGAUGACAAGAAAAACACAUAUUU